Molecule: long non-coding RNA, 274 nt
Filed under: Triticum aestivum (bread wheat)
Lineage: Eukaryota; Viridiplantae; Streptophyta; Magnoliopsida; Poales; Poaceae
Description: long non-coding RNA (TAES_LNC024385)
Source: RNAcentral
CACAGACAAUCAUAGCACAUGAGAUAAAAGCAACAAUAUAUAUCCAGAUCAUGGAAACAAUACUCUUAAUAGCAACUGUUAAGAGAAAGCAACAGCAGAGAAGGAACAAAUCUCGCUAGUACAACUUCAGGUUAUAUAGGACAUUGUAAACAUAGCAGGCAACUUUCCUCCUCAAACGACCAGAGCCUUACAGUCCAUUCCAUCCUUGCCUAACAAAAAUGCAAUCUAAGACCUGGGCUUCUCCUUUUUCUCCUUGAAGAGAGCGAGAAGCGAC